AGGCAAGUAAGGGCGCGUGGAACUCUUGGUGGANCGGUGGAAUGCGUAGAUAUCAAGAGGAACGCCGGAGGUGAAGACGGCGCGCUGGGCUUGUCCUGACGCUGAGGUGCGAAAGCCAGGGGAGCGAACGGGAUUAGAUACCCCGGUAGUCCUGGCCCUAAACGAUGUCCACUAGGUCGAUGGUUCUCUGACGGAUUGUCGGCCGAAACCAAAGCGUUAAGUGGACCGCCUGGGGAGUACGGUCGCAAGGCUAAAACUCAAAGGAAUUGACGGGGACUCACACAAGCGGUGGAGCAUGUUGCUUAAUUCGAUGCAACGCGAAGAACCUUAUCCUGGGCUUGACAUGUAUGGAUGCCUACCUGGAAACAGGAUCGGUUGCCCUUCGGNGGUGAAACGUACACAGGUGCUGCAUGGCUGUCGUCAGCUCGUGUCGUGAGAUGUUGGGUUAAGUCCCGUAACGAGCGAAACCCUUGUCGCUAGUUGCCAGCGGGUAAUGCCGGGGACUCUAGCGAGACUGCCUGUGUCAAACCGGGGGAAGGUGGGGAUGACGUCAAGUCCUCAUGGCCUUUAUGCCCAGGGCUGCAAACGUGCUACAAUGGCCGAGACAAAACGACGCAAGACCGCGAGGUGGAGCUAAUCGGAAAAAUCGUUCAGUUCGGAUUGGAGUCUGCACUCGACUCCAUGAAGUGGAUCGCUAGUAAUCGCGUAUCAGCCACGACGCGGUGAAUGUGUUCCUGAGUCUUGUACACACCGCCCGUCAAGUCAUGGAAGCCGGGAGCGCCCGAAGUCGCCACGAUUCAGUG
This 803-nucleotide ribosomal RNA is filed under the name uncultured organism. Its description in RNAcentral is "bacterial SSU rRNA". It matches the Rfam family "Bacterial small subunit ribosomal RNA", at positions 645 to 1448 of the family's 1533-position model. The record is from RNAcentral.